This 926-nucleotide long non-coding RNA is filed under the name Homo sapiens (human). RNAcentral describes it as "non-protein coding lnc-BNIP1-4:7". Lineage: Eukaryota; Metazoa; Chordata; Mammalia; Primates; Hominidae. The record is from RNAcentral.
AGGAGUAUGGACUCUGGAGUCAUAGGGCUGGAAUGCAAAUCUCAGCUCUAUCGUUUACCAGCUGUGCAACUUGGGCAAGUUACUCUCUAUUACUCUGUUUCCACAUCGGUUUACUCUGAUGGAUACCCUGACUGGUCAAUGGGCAGACAGGCCACCACCCCCUCCCCUCUGGACCCUACAUGGCAAAAGGCUUGGCAGACGUGACAAAGUGAAGAGUCUUGAGAUGGGGAGAUGAUCCUGCAUUGUCUGGAUGGGCUGGGUGUGGUCGUGACAGUUUUCAUAAGAGGGCUGCAGGACUACACUUUCUUCCUGAGAGGGUUCCUAACUUCUCUGAAGUCAAGUUGAGCGUCCACAUCUAAAGCCCCAGCCCAGUUGAACUUCCAGCCCACAGCUAGCACCAACUUGCCAGCCAUGUGAGUGAAUCAUCGUGGAAAUGAUAUCUGCCAGCCCUGGCCAAAAUGCCCCAGCUGAUGCCACAUAAAGCAAAAAUUAGCAGUUGCCACCAAGCCCUGCCUAAAUUGCAAAAUCGUUGAGAUGUUUCCCAAAAUGCCUCACAAAUAUUCUGGGAUGUCACCUUUUGCAAUGGAUCUGCAGGUUCCAUCGUGCCCUAGCUUUUUGCCUGAGGGGAGGCUCUGGCCAUGGGUCCCUUUUCAGGUCAGCAAGAGUGCCGUGCAGAGCAGGAGCCCCAUCCAAUGCUCUACAGGUAUACCAUCCAAUACUGUCCAAUAUUGUAGCCAUAUGUGACUAAUGAGCACUUGAAGUGUAGCUAGACUGAGAUGUGCUGGAAGCACACAAAACACAACUCAUUGUACAGGCUUAUACAGUACUAGUCUUCGAGAGAAUGUAAAAUAUCUCACUAAUAAUUUUAUAUUAAUUAUGUGUUGAAUUGAUAAAAUUUGGAUGUACUGGAUUAAAUAAAAUACCUU